AAACAUGAGAAUGUGAGCCAUAUUUUUCUUCCUUUGCAUGUAAAACAAUUUUUUUAAUCUCUUUAUAAGUAAACUUUAAUGCUUUGUUAACUUUAAUUAAAAUAUUUUUUGUUGAUUCAUUAUAAUUAAUGUUAAAUGUCUCUUAUGCGUGUAUCCUAUUGUUCACCCGUUGGGUCAUUUAAUAUUUGUAAGAAUCUCACAUAAAAGUCUUGAUGACUGCCAAAGUUCUUUAAUUUUUUUUAUUAAACUUCAUUAUACAUAUUUUUAUUUUUAUUUUAACCAUUCAUAAUAGAUAGGGGAAAAUUCCAAAAACAAAUAACAAUAAUGAAUUAAGAAAAAAUAUUUAGCUGUACAAAUAGGACAUCGAAAAGGUAUGAGCACAUCAUUUAAAAAUAAAAUUGUACCAACUAUGAUAUAUAUAUUUUUUUGGAAAAUUAUAUAUCAAAGGUUUUUUUUCUUGACAAUAAUUUUAUAUCAAACUUAAUACAUAUUAAAUGUAUAAAUUGUAAGACUCACAAGUUUAACCUAGCUAGGGAUAUAGGUAUUGCUCGAGACCGGACCUCGACCCAACCAACAACCCAUUUACGAAGGCUCAACAAUAGAUGCACCACCUCAAGGAUGCUUAGGAAGGUCAUAUGUGUGCAUAACUACACGAGAACACGACGAUAAGACGAUCAUGGUUGUUCACUCAAUAUCUAACCGUCUUAUGCCUUUGAACACGUUUUUUGACUCACUAUUAUGAGUUAUUAGACUCUAUGCAACACAAUCUUCACAAACUUCUCUUAAUAAUACUCUUCAAACUUUCACCAUUUCUCACACCAUCAUCUCACACUCUCUCCUCCUCUUCCUUCUACAACAAUGUGUUUCCAUCGUUAACCUUUCAUAAAAAGAGACUACGUUAAAAAUUUAUGGAUUGUAUGAACGGUCAAUGGAGAUGAUGCUGCGCUGAAAAGAAGCACAAUUUGUAUGGGUGUCAUGUUUGUCUGCUUGGGCGCAAGUUUAACCAUCAAGGUAUCUUUCGCCCAGAGAUAUUUUUGGAGAAAAAAAAUAGGGCACGUGAAAAACAUAUAAGGUGAAAGAAAUAGUCUUGUCAUUUUGGUAUUUUAAUUAAAGUGCAUUGUGAGCCUAUAUGAAUAAAGAGCUUACUUGUAGCUUAUAUCACAAUCGUUAAUCAAGAUAAACGUAUAUGUAUUAUGUAACACCCCGUUUCCCAAAAAUCCAUUAAUUAAUAAUUCAUGCAUCAGAGUAAUUCCCAAACGGGCAUGUCACACUACAUUUUCAAAAUUUCUUAAAUAGAAUAUAAAAUCUAUUUAAUAAACAUCCUUCAAGUCAUUAUUAAAUUUGCAGCGGAAAAUUUGCAUCAAAACAACGAUAGCAAUAGUUUAAAUCUCC
This 1392-nucleotide long non-coding RNA is filed under the name Medicago truncatula (barrel medic). RNAcentral describes it as "long non-coding RNA (MTRU_LNC006991)". The record is from RNAcentral. Lineage: Eukaryota; Viridiplantae; Streptophyta; Magnoliopsida; Fabales; Fabaceae.